UACGGGGGGUGCGAGCGUUAUCCGGAAUUACUGGGUUUAAAGGGUGCGUAGGCGGCCAGGUAAGUCAGGAGUGAAAGUUUGCGGCUCAACCGUAAAAUUGCUUUUGAUACUGCCAGGCUAGAAUUAGGAUGAGGUCAGCGGAAUGUGGCAUGUAGCGGUGAAAUGCAUAGAUAUGCCAUAGAACACCAAUUGCGAAGGCAGCUGGCUAGACCUGGAUUGACGCUGAGGCACGAAAGCGUGGGGAGCGAACAGG
This 253-nucleotide ribosomal RNA is filed under the name uncultured bacterium. Its description in RNAcentral is "partial 16S ribosomal RNA". It matches the Rfam family "Bacterial small subunit ribosomal RNA", at positions 524 to 776 of the family's 1533-position model. The record is from RNAcentral.